GCCGGCAGCCAUAUCACCCUGCUAAGCAGGUGUGAGCCUGGUCAGUACCUGGAUGGGAGACCUCCUGGGAAAAACUAAAGUUGCUGCUGGAA
This 92-nucleotide ribosomal RNA is filed under the name Lepisosteus oculatus (spotted gar). Lineage: Eukaryota; Metazoa; Chordata; Actinopteri; Semionotiformes; Lepisosteidae. The record is from RNAcentral.